CAAGUAUGCUGCAAGUACAGCCCGUCUUAAUUGAUGGAGCCACUUACUGAGUCUCUAAAUUAAAAUAUUCGAUUUGAGCUGCAUGACAUCUAAGGAUCAGCCUGACCUCUCUCUGGAGCUCAGGGGUGGUGACAUCAGAAUACAGCAGGCAGUGGGGAUGCAUCCGUGGGGUCUCCUCAAUGACAGAAGUGAUAGAUGGGG
Molecule: long non-coding RNA, 201 nt
Filed under: Ictidomys tridecemlineatus (thirteen-lined ground squirrel)
Lineage: Eukaryota; Metazoa; Chordata; Mammalia; Rodentia; Sciuridae
Description: lncRNA (ENSSTOG00000032293.1)
Source: RNAcentral